This 239-nucleotide ribosomal RNA is filed under the name uncultured bacterium. RNAcentral's name for it is "partial 16S ribosomal RNA". It matches the Rfam family "Bacterial small subunit ribosomal RNA", at positions 15 to 244 of the family's 1533-position model. The record is from RNAcentral.
GAUCAUGGCUCAGGAUGAACGCUAGCUACAGGCUUAACACAUGCAAGUCGAGGGGCAUCAGUUUGGUUUGCUUGCAAACCAAAGCUGGCGACCGGCGCACGGGUGAGUAACACGUAUCCAACCUGCCUCAUACUCGGGGAUAGCCUUUCGAAAGAAAGAUUAAUAUCCGAUAGCAUAUAUUCCCCGCAUGGGUUUUAUAUUAAAGAAAUUCGGUAUGAGAUGGGGAUGCGUCNCUAUUG